RNAcentral lists this ribosomal RNA (551 nucleotides) under uncultured bacterium. RNAcentral's name for it is "bacterial SSU rRNA". It matches the Rfam family "Archaeal small subunit ribosomal RNA", at positions 725 to 1275 of the family's 1478-position model. The record is from RNAcentral.
AGUGAAUAGAUACCCGGGUAGUCCAGGGUGUAAACGCUGCGGGCUUGGUGUUGGGGGUCCUUAGUGGGCGCCCAGUGCCGGAGAGAAAGUUGUUAAGCCUGCUGCUUGGGGAGUAUGUCCGCAAGGAUGAAACUUAAAGGAAUUGGCGGGGGAGCACCGCAACGGGAGGAGCGUGCGGUUCAAUUGGAUUCAACGCCGGACAACUCACCAGGAGCGACUAUUACAUGAAGGCCAGGCUGAUGACCUUGCCUGAUUUUUAGAGAGGUGGUGCAUGGCCGUCGUCAGUUCGUACCGUAAGGCGUUCUCUUAAGUGAGAUAACGAACGAGACCCUCACCGUUAAUUGCUAACGUUCUCUCCGGAGGGCGUGCACAUUAAUGGGACCGCUGGCGCUAAGUCAGAGGAAGGAGAGGUCAACGGUAGGUCCGUAUGCCCCGAAUCUCCUGGGCUACACGCGCGCUACAAAGGUUGGGACAAUGGGUUCCUACAUCGAAAGGUGACGGCAAUCCCGAAACCCAAUCGUAGUUCGGAUUGAGGGCUGUAACUCGCCCUC